RNAcentral lists this ribosomal RNA (510 nucleotides) under uncultured Burkholderia sp. RNAcentral's name for it is "bacterial SSU rRNA". It matches the Rfam family "Bacterial small subunit ribosomal RNA", at positions 1 to 507 of the family's 1533-position model. The record is from RNAcentral. Lineage: Bacteria; Pseudomonadati; Pseudomonadota; Betaproteobacteria; Burkholderiales; Burkholderiaceae.
GUAGAGUUUGAUCCUGGCUCAGAUUGAACGCUGGCGGCAUGCCUUACACAUGCAAGUCGAACGGCAGCACGGGUGCUUGCACCUGGUGGCGAGUGGCGAACGGGUGAGUAAUACAUCGGAACAUGUCCUGUAGUGGGGGAUAGCCCGGCGAAAGCCGGAUUAAUACCGCAUACGAUCUACGGAUGAAAGCGGGGGGACCUUCGGGCCUCGCGCUAUAGGGUUGGCCGAUGGCUGAUUAGCUAGUUGGUGGGGUAAAGGCCUACCAAGGCGACGAUCAGUAGCUGGUCUGAGAGGACGACCAGCCACACUGGGACUGAGACACGGCCCAGACUCCUACGGGAGGCAGCAGUGGGGAAUUUUGGACAAUGGGCGAAAGCCUGAUCCAGCAAUGCCGCGUGUGUGAAGAAGGCCUUCGGGUUGUAAAGCACUUUUGUCCGGAAAGAAAUCCUUGGCUCUAAUACAGUCGGGGGGAUGACGGUACCGGAAGAAUAAGCACCGGCUAACUACGUG